Acanthosepion pharaonis is the source of this 103-nucleotide non-coding RNA. The record is from the annotation of a GenBank genome assembly. NCBI's taxonomy places the organism in Eukaryota, Metazoa, Mollusca, Cephalopoda, Sepiida, Sepiidae.
ACGGUCUCAUCAUAUUGAAACACUGGUACGAUCAGCGAAGUUAAGCAAUGUCGAGCCUGGUCAGUAACUAGAUGGGUGACUGCUUGGGAAUACCAGGUGCUGU